Non-coding RNA from Camelina sativa (false flax), 154 nucleotides. The record is from RefSeq and is a predicted model, not a curated record. Lineage: Eukaryota; Viridiplantae; Streptophyta; Magnoliopsida; Brassicales; Brassicaceae.
GACAGAUUUGACGGUACUGCUCCAGAACCUCGCAAGGGAAUACCGAGUGGUCAUAUACCUGGUAGCAAGUGUGUCCCUUUUCCCGACAUGUUUGAUUCCUCUCAAACACUGUUACCAGCGGAGGAGCUUAAGAAGAGGUUUGAACAAGAAGGUA